This 1250-nucleotide ribosomal RNA is filed under the name Streptomyces sp. RNAcentral's name for it is "bacterial SSU rRNA". It matches the Rfam family "Bacterial small subunit ribosomal RNA", at positions 70 to 1274 of the family's 1533-position model. The record is from RNAcentral. Lineage: Bacteria; Bacillati; Actinomycetota; Actinomycetes; Kitasatosporales; Streptomycetaceae.
UAGUGUAUAUCUAUUAAUAUACACACUAUAUAGUAAAUAGUGGCGAACGGGUGAGUAACACAUGGGCAAUCUGCCCUGCACUCUGGGACAAACCCUGGAAACGGGGUCUAAUACCGGAUGAUAUCCCCUCUCGCAUGGGAAGGGGUUGAAAGCUCCGGCGGUGCAGGAUGAGCCCGCGGCCUAUCAGCUAGUUGGUGAGGUAGAAGCUCACCAAGGCGACGACGGGUAGCCGGCCUGAGAGGGCGACCGGCCACACUGGGACUGAGACACGGCCCAGACUCCUACGGGAGGCAGCAGUGGGGAAUAUUGCACAAUGGGCGAAAGCCUGAUGCAGCGACGCCGCGUGAGGGAUGACGGCCUUCGGGUUGUAAACCUCUUUCAGCAGGGAAGAAGCGAAAGUGACGGUACCUGCAGAAGAAGCGCCGGCUAACUACGUGCCAGCAGCCGCGGUAAUACGUAGGGCGCAAGCGUUGUCCGGAAUUAUUGGGCGUAAAGAACUCGUAAGCGGCUUGUCACGUCCGUUGUGAAAACCCCGGGGCUUAACCCCCGGGUCUGCAGUCGAUACGGGGAGGCUAGAGUGUGGUAGGGGAGAUCGGAAUUCCUGGUGGUAGCGGGUGAAAUGCGCAGAUAUCCGGAGGAACACCGGUGGCGAAAGCGGAUCUCUGGGCCAUUACUGACGCUGAGGAGCGAAAGCGUGGGGGAGCGAACAGGAUUAGAUACCCUGGUAGUCCACGCCGUAAACGGUGGGAACUAAGGUGUUGGCGACAUUCCACGUCGUCGGUGCCGCAGCUAACGCAUUAAGUUCCCCGCCUGGGGGAGUACGGCCGCAAGGCUAAAACUCAAAGGAAAUUGACGGGGGGCCCGCACAAGCAGCGGAGCAUGUGGGCUUAAUUCGACGCAACGCGAAGAACCUUACCAAGGCUUGACAUCGCCCCGGAAAGCCGUAGAAGAUACGGCCCCCCUUGUGGUCGGGUGACAGGUGGUGCAUGGGCUGUCGUCAGCUCGUGUCGUGAAAAUGUUGGGGUUAAGUCCCGCAACGAGCGCAACCCUUGUUCUGUGUUGCCAGCAUGCCCUUUCGGGGGUGAUGGGGGACUCACAGGAAAACUGCCGGGGGUCAACUCCGGAAGGAAAGGGGGGGGACGAACGUCAAGUCAUCCUGCCCCCUUAUUGUUCUUGGGGCUGGCACCCUGGGUUACAAUGGGCGGGGGUCAAUGGAGAUUGGCGAAACCCCCAAGGGGGGGGGGAAAUUC